GAUGAACGCUGGCGGCGUGCCUAAUACAUGCAAGUCGAGCGAACAGACGAGGAGCUUGCUCCUCUGACGUUAGCGGCGGACGGGUGAGUAACACGUGGAUAACCUACCUAUAAGACUGGGAUAACUUCGGGAAACCGGAGCUAAUACCGGAUAAUAUAUUGAACCGCAUGGUUCAAUAGUGAAAGACGGUUUUGCUGUCACUUAUAGAUGGAUCCGCGCCGCAUUAGCUAGUUGGUAAGGUAACGGCUUACCAAGGCGACGAUGCGUAGCCGACCUGAGAGGGUGAUCGGCCACACUGGAACUGAGACACGGUCCAGACUCCGACGGGAGGCAGCAGUAGGGAAUCUUCCGCAAUGGGCGAAAGCCUGACGGAGCAACGCCGCGUGAGUGAUGAAGGUCUUCGGAUCGUAAAACUCUGUUAUUAGGGAAGAACAAAUGUGUAAGUAACUAUGCUCGUCUUGACGGUACCUAAUCAGAAAGCCACGGCUAACUACGUG
RNAcentral lists this ribosomal RNA (497 nucleotides) under uncultured bacterium. RNAcentral's name for it is "partial 16S ribosomal RNA". It matches the Rfam family "Bacterial small subunit ribosomal RNA", at positions 28 to 507 of the family's 1533-position model. The record is from RNAcentral.